AGGAGGCAGCUUACACAUGCAAGUCGAGCGCACUCUUCGGAGUGAGCGGCGGACGGGUUAGUAACGCGUGGGAACGUGCCCUUCUCUAAGGAAUAGCCACUGGAAACGGUGAGUAAUACCUUAUACGCCCUUCGGGGGAAAGAUUUAUCGGAGAAGGAUCGGCCCGCGUUAGAUUAGAUAGUUGGUGGGGUAAUGGCCUACCAAGUCUACGAUCUAUAGCUGGUUUUAGAGGAUGAUCAGCAACACUGGGACUGAGACACGGCCCAGACUCCUACGGGAGGCAGCAGUGGGGAAUCUUGGACAAUGGGCGCAAGCCUGAUCCAGCCAUGCCGCGUGAGUGAUGAAGGCCUUAGGGUCGUAAAGCUCUUUCGCCAGAGAUGAUAAUGACAGUAUCUGGUAAAGAAACCCCGGCUAACUCCGUGCCAGCAGCCGCGGUAAUACGGAGGGGGUUAGCGUUGUUCGGAAUUACUGGGCGUAAAGCGCACGUAGGCGGAUCAGAAAGUAUAGGGUGAAAUCCCAGGGCUCAACCCUGGAACUGCCUUGUAAACUCCUGGUCUUGAGUUCGAGAGAGGUGAGUGGAAUUCCGAGUGUAGAGGUGAAAUUCGUAGAUAUUCGGAGGAACACCAGUGGCGAAGGCGGCUCACUGGCUCGAUACUGACGCUGAGGUGCGAAAGUGUGGGGAGCAAACAGGAUUAGAUACCCUGGUAGUC
This 710-nucleotide ribosomal RNA is filed under the name Phaeobacter sp. Its description in RNAcentral is "bacterial SSU rRNA". It matches the Rfam family "Bacterial small subunit ribosomal RNA", at positions 41 to 795 of the family's 1533-position model. Lineage: Bacteria; Pseudomonadati; Pseudomonadota; Alphaproteobacteria; Rhodobacterales; Roseobacteraceae. The record is from RNAcentral.